Molecule: long non-coding RNA, 1330 nt
Organism: Odocoileus virginianus texanus
Lineage: Eukaryota; Metazoa; Chordata; Mammalia; Artiodactyla; Cervidae
Source: RefSeq, a predicted model, not a curated record
CAGCUGCUGUGUACGUAGCUGACAUGCAGAGCUUAAACCCUUAAACAAGAGCAAAAUGAACCAUGAAAUCUCUAGUAUCUAUAGCAUUUAUGCUUUUACAGGUUUGGAAAGGAUAGUGGAAAAUUCACAGAUAAAUAUGUCAAAAAAAUAUAAAGUUACAGAAAUCCAACUUUAUUCCCUUUCAUCAUAGAAUCCAGAAUAUUACUUAACACAUUGUAAUAGAUGCUAUUAUCCUGAUUGCAAGACAAAAAUGCCAUCUCUCAGAUAACCAGUACUACUUGGACAUCUUUUGUUCCAGAUCAUGACCAGAGAUGGCGCUGAGUGUACAGGGAACGAAACGCCAAUCCCAAACGGAAAUUGGAAACCGGAAUGAAGUCCGAAGUGAGAGGAGCUCCAAGAGAAUCUGUAAUAGAUAUGUAUGUCGGCAAUAAAGGAACACCCUCAGCCCAAUCCAAGGCUGGAUAUUUGCUGAUUUCCAUGCUCUAAACAGCCACACUGGUCCUGCCCUUGGAGUGCAAGGGAGCAUUGGCGGUCAGCUGAAGCAAGGACAGUGAACUCAAGCCAGGUCUGGUGGUCACCAUCAGCAUUCAGCUAACUAUCUUAGAUGAACUUCAUCACUACACUGUCUGCUUUUGCAAGUCUUCCUCUAAAAAGAGCUAAACAGAGAAAAUGGAGAGAAGAAGGUCCGAGAGGAUUCCAUUUUCCUCCAUCACGAUGAGCAACUGAGCAUGCAGCCCAAAUCUGUUUUAGAAAAUGGACAUGGAAUAGGAAAAGAAGAGCUAUGGUUUAAAUUGAGUUUGGGAUUGCUGCUUUAUAUUAGAUUGGAUUUUAGUAACUCAAAGUGGCCGGAAAGUUGCAGAAUCCUCUCAAGAUAUAAUGAAGGUACAAGAAAGAAGGAUUGAGUUUAGCAGAGCUGCAAGUGAUGGUAGGAAACAUAAAACCACCUACUGACAUCCACCUACUCUUCUUUAAAGAAAGCUCAAAUGCAAAUCAUAAACAUCUUUAUAUUUCACGCCAUUCAUUUUGAUUCUUUAGUAUGGGGCUUUAUGCCCUGUCCUGAUCACCCAAAAGCUCACUUUCCAGUACCUGCUGAUGAAGUCUGCUGCAAGCAUCAGACUCCGCCUGUGGGAAAGGCUGGACAAGCUGGGGAGAAGAUGCUUCCAGGACAGCCCUUAGCCAAUGACUGACAACAACCAGAGGAUAACUUCCCAGCUUCCCUUUCCUUGUUUCUCAAGGAAGAGACAAAUCUGAGGUAUAUUUGACAUCAUUUCCCAGAAGUUUCCAAUAAGAAAAUGAGAAAUUACAAAAAAAUAAAACUACCAUGAAAAUA